This 505-nucleotide ribosomal RNA is filed under the name uncultured bacterium. Its description in RNAcentral is "partial 16S ribosomal RNA". It matches the Rfam family "Bacterial small subunit ribosomal RNA", at positions 28 to 507 of the family's 1533-position model. The record is from RNAcentral.
GACGAACGCUGGCGGCGUGCCUAAUACAUGCAAGUAGAACGCACAGUUUAUACCGUAGCUUGCUACACCAUAGACUGUGAGUUGCGAACGGGUGAGUAACGCGUAGGUAACCUGCCUGGUAGCGGGGGAUAACUAUUGGAAACGAUAGCUAAUACCGCAUAAUAUUAAUUAUUGCAUGAUAAUUAAUUGAAAGGUGCAAUUGCACCACUACCAGAUGGACCUGCGUUGUAUUAGCUAGUAGGUGAGGUAACGGCUCACCUAGGCGACGAUACAUAGCCGACCUGAGAGGGUGAUCGGCCACCCUGGGACUGAGACACGGCCCAGACUCCUACGGGAGGCAGCAGUAGGGAAUCUUCGGCAAUGGACGAAAGUCUGGCCGAGCAACGCCGCGUGAGUGAAGAAGGUUUUCGGAUCGUAAAGCUCUGUUGUAAGAGAAGAACGGGUGUGAGAGUGGAAAGUUCACACUGUGACGGUAUCUUACCAGAAAGGGACGGCUAACUACGUG